GACGAACGCUGGCGGCGUGCUUAACACAUGCAAGUCGAACGGAAAGGCCCCUUUGGGGGUCCUCGAGUGGCGAACGGGUGAGUAACACGUGAGUAACCUGCCCUUGACUUCGGGAUAACUUCAGGAAACUGGGGCUAAUACCGGAUAGGAAUCCUUGCUGCAUGGUGGGGGUUGGAAAGCUUCGGCGGUUUUGGAUGGACUCGCGGCUUAUCAGCUUGUUGGUGGGGUAGUGGCUUACCAAGGCUUUGACGGGUAGCCGGCCUGAGAGGGAGACCGGCCACAUUGGGACGGAGAUACGGCCCAGACGCCUACGGGAGGCAGAAGGGGGGAAUAUUGAACAAUGGGCGGAAGCCUGAUGCAGCAAAGCCGCGUGCGGGAUGACGGCAUUCGGGUUGUAAACCGCUUUCAGCAGGGGCGAAGCUUGUGGUGACGGUACCUGCAGAAGAAGCACCGGCUAACUACGUG
This 465-nucleotide ribosomal RNA is filed under the name uncultured bacterium. Its description in RNAcentral is "partial 16S ribosomal RNA". It matches the Rfam family "Bacterial small subunit ribosomal RNA", at positions 28 to 507 of the family's 1533-position model. The record is from RNAcentral.